RNAcentral lists this ribosomal RNA (497 nucleotides) under uncultured bacterium. Its description in RNAcentral is "partial 16S ribosomal RNA". It matches the Rfam family "Bacterial small subunit ribosomal RNA", at positions 28 to 507 of the family's 1533-position model. The record is from RNAcentral.
GAUGAACGCUGGCGGCGUGCCUAAUACAUGCAAGUCGAGCGAACGGACGAGAAGCUUGCUUCUCUGAUGUUAGCGGCGGACGGGUGAGUAACACGUGGAUAACCUACCUAUAAGACUGGGAUAACUUCGGGAAACCGGAGCUAAUACCGGAUAAUAUUUUGAACCGCAUGGUUCAAAAGUGAAAGACGGUCUUGCUGUCACUUAUAGAUGGAUCCGCGCUGCAUUAGCUAGUUGGUAAGGUAACGGCUUACCAAGGCAACGAUUCAUAGCCGACCUGAGAGGGUGAUCGGCCACACUGGAACUGAGACACGGUCCAGACUCCUACGGGAGGCAGCAGUAGGGAAUAUUCCGCAAUGGGCGAAAGCCUGACGGAGCAACGCCGCGUGAGUGAUGAAGGUCUUCGGAUCGUAAAACUCUGUUAUUAGGGAAGAACAUAUGUGUAAGUAACUGUGCACAUCUUGACGGUACCUAAUCAGAAAGCCACGGCUAACUACGUG